UGGGGAAUUUUGGACAAUGGGCGAAAGCCUGAUCCAGCAAUGCCGCGUGUGUGAAGAAGGCCUUCGGGUUGUAAAGCACUUUUGUCCGGAAAGAAAUGGCUCUGGUUAAUACCUGGGGUCGAUGACGGUACCGGAAGAAUAAGGACCGGCUAACUACGUGCCAGCAGCCGCGGUAAUACGUAGGGUCCAAGCGUUAAUCGGAAUUACUGGGCGUAAAGCGUGCGCAGGCGGUUGUGCAAGACCGAUGUGAAAUCCCCGAGCUUAACUUGGGAAUUGCAUUGGUGACUGCACGGCUAGAGUGUGUCAGAGGGGGGUAGAAUUCCACGUNUAGCAGUGAAAUGCGUAGAGAUGUGGAGGAAUACCGAUGGCGAAGGCAGCCCCCUGGGAUAACACUGACGCUCAUGCACGAAAGCGUGGGGAGCAAACAGGAUUAGAUACCCUGGUAGUCCACGCCCUAAAACGAUGUCAACUAGUUGUUGGGGAUUCAUUUCCUUAGUAACGUAGCUAACGCGUGAAGUUGACCGCCUGGGGAGUACGGUCGCAAG
RNAcentral lists this ribosomal RNA (545 nucleotides) under uncultured bacterium. RNAcentral's name for it is "partial 16S ribosomal RNA". It matches the Rfam family "Bacterial small subunit ribosomal RNA", at positions 355 to 892 of the family's 1533-position model. The record is from RNAcentral.